ACCGGCAGCUCAAGUGGUGGCCAUUUUUAUUGGGCCUAAAGCGUUCGUAGCCGGUUUGAUAAGUCUCUGGUGAAAUCCCGCAGCUUAACUGUGGGACUUGCUGGAGAUACUAUUAGACUUGAGGUCGGGAGAGGUUAGGGGUACUCCCAGGGGAGGCGUAACAGGCUGUAAUCCGAGGGGGACUAACGGUGGCGAAGGGCGCGAACUGGAGAGAAUCCGACGGUGAGUAGCGUAAUUGAGUAAUGCCCACGU
This 252-nucleotide ribosomal RNA is filed under the name uncultured prokaryote. RNAcentral describes it as "partial 16S rRNA". It matches the Rfam family "Archaeal small subunit ribosomal RNA", at positions 475 to 726 of the family's 1478-position model. The record is from RNAcentral.